GCUCCUUUGGCCUAGUGGUUAUGGCGUGGCUCUUAUGUGGUAACUCCGUUUUCUCGGACUCCGCAUGCCGACUAGCUGAAGUCGAGGGUUCGACUCCCUCAAGGAGCA
This 108-nucleotide transfer RNA is filed under the name Aspergillus tamarii. It matches the Rfam family "tRNA". Rfam says of the family: Transfer RNA (tRNA) molecules are approximately 80 nucleotides in length. The record is from Rfam by way of RNAcentral. RNAcentral also lists the same sequence under 1 other name. Lineage: Eukaryota; Fungi; Ascomycota; Eurotiomycetes; Eurotiales; Aspergillaceae.